ACCUGUUUUUUUUUUUUAAAUGUGGAAUUAUGAGAGAAGACAUUUUAGAGAUAACUAAAUGCAAAAAAUAAAUCUGGGGCAUGAGGUGCCCCACUCCGUAGGGAAUAUGAAAACUGAACUGCCAAUGGCAGUGGUGAGUCUGUGACCCUCCUUUCAGGUGUCCUCAACAAUGACACCCCUCAUUGUGACAGACGUAGAGGCUUUCUGGAAGCCAGAGCCCUGGUUUGUGGUAGUGCUGACAGCAACUGGUGCAGUUCUCCUCCUGGCUCUGGGUUGGCUCCUCGGCAGGAUCCUUCGGAGGUUGGCCCAGUCACUACAGGCACCGAGCAAACCAGCCAGAGCUCAGUUGUUAAACAGCAUCCAGGGAAGUAGAGGCUCCAUUGAGAGGCAAAUGGAGGCACCAAGCAUGGAGAUGUCCAAGCAACAUUUUGAUGGCAGAGCCCAAGAUGUCUGUACGGGGAGAGAUUACCUGUUCAGCACACUCACGGGAGCCCGGCGUUGGCUGUGAGGCCAAGUAGCUGCUUUACUCUGUGGGGAAUUCCCUUUUCUCAUGAUCAUAGCCUGGAUUUCCAAAUCGAUUUAGUAAUAAAGACUACCAACAGAA
Molecule: long non-coding RNA, 604 nt
Filed under: Rattus norvegicus (Norway rat)
Lineage: Eukaryota; Metazoa; Chordata; Mammalia; Rodentia; Muridae
Description: long non-coding RNA NONRATT028036
Source: RNAcentral